RNAcentral lists this ribosomal RNA (432 nucleotides) under Triticum aestivum (bread wheat). RNAcentral describes it as "partial small subunit ribosomal RNA". Lineage: Eukaryota; Viridiplantae; Streptophyta; Magnoliopsida; Poales; Poaceae. The record is from RNAcentral.
AUGCCGCCGCCGCUGGCGUGCUCCCUGCCCCCGCCGCCGCCGCUCUUGUCCUUGCCGCCGCCGGCCGACCCCUCGAUGGACACCUGCAUGCCGUGGGCGAGCAGGUUCCUACACCACGUCACGGUGACCAGCCGGCUCUGCUCGGAGAUCACCGCGCGGUACACCAGCGUCACGGCGCUCUGCCCCGACCUGGUCGCCGGCGCCGCGGACGCCGGCGCGUCCGGCAGCUGCUUCUCGCCGGACGAGAAGCAGGAGGGCACCGAGAACAGGUCCUGCAUCCUGUCUGCCCCUCACUAUCUACGACGAACUGAGAGACACGAGAGGAUGGAUGAGUGGAUCGAUGAUGGGCUAGCAAGGAAGGCUACUAUACAUAGGCGGCGGCGCGGGGGUGGGGGAGCGCCAUGGAUCCAUGCAACAGCGGAGCCGGCAUGA